Triplophysa rosa is the source of this 114-nucleotide small nucleolar RNA. RefSeq annotates it as small nucleolar RNA SNORA5. The record is from RefSeq and is a predicted model, not a curated record. The transcript has a single exon. Lineage: Eukaryota; Metazoa; Chordata; Actinopteri; Cypriniformes; Nemacheilidae.
UGCAGCCUUGUCAAAUUCAGUGUUAACUUGUUAGUAGACUACACUGGCCAGAUGGCUGCAACAUUAAGUUAGUAGUUCUAGGGGCCCAUGUUCUUAAAGUGGUUACUGGGAUCC